Long non-coding RNA from Bubalus bubalis (water buffalo), 1593 nucleotides. RefSeq lists it as uncharacterized. The transcript is spliced from 2 exons. The record is from RefSeq and is a predicted model, not a curated record. NCBI's taxonomy places the organism in Eukaryota, Metazoa, Chordata, Mammalia, Artiodactyla, Bovidae.
AGCGGUGCCUGAGCGCAGGGACCCUGGCUGUGGGUGUGUUCUGCGUCAGUUGAGACGCCCUCUGCUGGCCGUUACUGAGCGGCGGACGGAGCUGUGCGCGCAUCCUCUCGAGGCGGUCUAGUGGAAUCAAGUAGGUUCUUGAGACCUGCUUCUUUGCUGAUGGCAAAGGGAAGCUCGCCUCCGACUGUUCCGGCUCGUUUCUGCGACCAGCCUUUGAUCACAGCUAUAGUAAAUGAAUGCGCAGAGGAGCGCGCGGCCAAUCCCUCACCGCGAGACACGCCUUCGUUUGCCGUUUCACCAACGGCCAGCAGACGGCGCCCGACUCUCCUUGGGAUCAACUGGCGUCUCAACAGUGGAGGGAAGCUCGUGCUCAGGUUCUCCAAUAUUCUGAGAUUCCCAGUGUGAGAAGCCAGCUUAGUUUGUCGCUGUUCCAACUGUGUGACACCCCGGGGGCUGUGGAAAUAGUUAAAAAGUGAUCUUUCCCUGGGUCCCGGACCACCCAGGGGGAACUCCGCCACGGCGGAGAUCUCUUAAGUCUUCAAAUACUGAGCGUAGAACCUCCCAUUCUCACUCUAAACUUCCUCAUAUAACAAUAUAGUGCAAUAUAGUGAAAAGUAUUUUAUAAAAGUAUGAAUUUAUUGAGACCUUUGGAGACUGGAAAUCAUCAGACACUGUGUGGUAUUUCCAUGUUCAGUAUUGUUUCUUGAGAGAUAUGCCAACAAAAACCCAGAGAAAGGGAACACCUAUCUACAAUGGGAACAAGGUCCCUGAAACAUCCCCAGGUGCUUUAAAUUCCUCAUUCUGGGCCAGGCACUGACUUUCCCACAUGAACCAGAGCCCUGCUGCUCCUCCUUCAGUCCUCCAGAUGGUCCCAUCUCCAAGAGCUAUCUUUUGGGAGAUGUCCAUGUGCCUGACCCUGAGGGCCUGCUCCCCCCACUCCACACACACACAGCUUCUCUGUCCUUACACCUGGGUUGUAGAGAUGAGGACCACUUGGGUAAAUUAGUACUAAGGCUAGCUGUUGUUAAACAGACUCAGAUACUCCAAAGUAAUUGCAAACUUCUUCAAUCCCUCAAAAUUUCUUCAAAAUGUGCAAAAUGAUGUAAUUACUGCUCGUGGUUAUCAUAUGUAAUUACUAGGAUAAUGCUGUAUUAUCCCAGUAACUAACUUAGGUCAACAUGCAGUGCACCAAGCUAGUGGCACAAAGGGCUCUCUGGCUGCCCCGGGGUCCAUUUCUCUGCUGGUUUCUUGGGGACUCCCGGGACGCCUGUGCCUCCUCUUAGUGACUCACUCUCGUGACUCUUGUCUUUCAGCAAUGCUUACACGCCCUCCCAUGGCACUUAGCAGACAACAAGGAUGUGCUGGUGUCAGAAGCCUCACUGGGAUGGUGGUGAGUCUCUCAUCUGGGCUGAGCAGUGGUCCAGACUGAGGCAGAGGAACUGCCCUUGUUACAGAGGGCGGGCCCACCUGGAAUGCGAGCUGUGACUGUCUCCUGAGGUCUCUCCAGGCUGCGUCCAGAUGGAAAAUCCCAGGGGCGCCCCCACCCUGAAGGCCAGUCGUAGGCAGCAAGGACGGGCUCCCGCAGGAUGUCAC